GACGAACGCUGGCGGCGUGCCUAACACAUGCAAGUUGAGCGACGAACCAGGGCUUGCCCUGGGGCAAAGCAGCGAACGGGUGAGUAACACGUGGGUAACCUGCCCCGAUGACCGGGACAACCCGAGGAAACUCGGGCUAAUACCGGAUGUGUCCCCUGGACCCAAGUCCCGUGGGCAAAGGAAGCUUCGGCCUCCACAUUGGGAGGGGCCCGCGGCCCAUUAGCUUGUUGGUGAGGUAAGAGCUCACCAAGGCAACGAUGGGUAGCUGGUCUGAGAGGACGAUCAGCCACACUGGGACUGAGACACGGCCCAGACUCCUACGGGAGGCAGCAGUGGGGAAUCUUGCGCAAUGCGCGAAAGCGUGACGCAGCAACGCCGCGUGGGGGAAGAAGGCCUUCGGGUUGUAAACCCCUUUCAGGAGGGACGAAGGUGCGGCCGUGAACAGCGGUCCGCACUGACGGUACCUCCAGAAGAAGCCCCGGCUAACUACGUGCCAGCCGCCGCGGUAA
Molecule: ribosomal RNA, 509 nt
Filed under: uncultured bacterium
Lineage: Bacteria
Description: partial 16S ribosomal RNA
Rfam family: Bacterial small subunit ribosomal RNA
Source: RNAcentral